CUCAUAUCUUUAUUCUUGCUCUUUUUUAUGUUUUCUUUCUUUUUUCUUUUUUCAUUCAGCCAUCUUUUCCAUAUCAGUAUAUAUAUAUAUUUUUUUUUUAUUUUGUUGUAUUUUUAUAUUUUUUCAUUAACCUUUUAAUUUUUUUUGUUAUUCUCAUAUUUAAAUUUUUUUUGUUCAUUUUUGUUUUUCUUUCAACUUUUGUUUUUUCCUUUUUUUUCUUUUUUUUCAUUCAGAUAUCUUUUCCAUAUUAGUUAUUUUUUAUUUAUUUUUAAUGUUUUUAGAAAUUGCCCUGCAAUUGGGUCUUGGCAUUAUAUUUAUGAAUACAUACUUAAAGGGGAAUGAGGAGUAUAUAUUUUAGUGUCAAUUUUAUAUACUGCAGUUUACUAAAGGAACACUAUAGGGUCAGGAACACAAACAUGUAUACCUGAUCCUAUUGUGUUAAAAUAACUAUUUAGGUCCCCUGGCCCCCCCCUUGACUAACUUAAACAUUGAAAAAUGCCACUUUAUGCCAGUGCCGCGCAGAUCUGAUGGCGCUGGUUCCAACCCUGAUCCUCCUUGGCUGACCUCAUAGAAAUGUAUUGAAUCAAUGCAUCUCCGUGCCGAAAUUUCAGUUUCUCAAUAUAGAGCGUAGAGAAGCUGAACGUCCUGACCAAGGAAGCACCUCUAGUGGCAGUCUGAGGAGUGGCCACUAGAAGUGUUCCUAGGCUGUAAUGUAAACACUGCCUUUUCUCUGAAAAUACAGUGUUUACAGCAAAAAGCCAACAGGGACUGACUACAUUAACUAUACAACAAUUUACCCACUUGCAGCACUAGAUGCCUUUGGGCAUAGUGUUCAAAUAAAAAAAUUAACCCCUUAAGGACCAAACUUCUGGAAUAAAAUGGAAUCAUGACAUGUCAGACAUGUCAUAUGUCCUUAAGGGGUUAAAAAAUGGACAUGCCAUUUAUCACCCCCUACACAUGGCUUUUACCAGGGUAUUUAUACAUGAUGUAUUGAGUGGACACGCCAUUGUCCAUUCUCCUAAAUGAGGUAAGUAUUUCCAGGUAUUAGAUUUAUUGUGCCUACCCUCAUUGUUAUUAGGGUGAGGAGGCAGAUAGAAAUUUCAUAACGGAGGGGAUGGCUAGGGGCGUGUGGACAAUAGGACACCUGGGGUUAAUGCAGGACAUUGCACUCUCAUUUGUGGGGGUGAACAGUGUCAUGUUUACAUCUCUUUAUUUAGUUAACACACCCCACCCAAAGCCCAUGACCUGUUAACCACCCCUGAUUUAUAUACUAGCCCUCACUGAUGGUUAUAUAUAUCUAAUAUCUAUUUAAUAGGCUUGGUACCCCUAGAUAUCUUAGGUUAUUGGGGAAUGACACCCUCUUUGGGAGUUGGACAAUAUCCAUUUCCUGAGGUUGAAAGACUCUCCCAAUAAUUUACAGGAUGUGACCUUGUUAGCCCUUGGGCAAACAAUGCAUUGGAAC
Pelobates cultripes (western spadefoot toad) is the source of this 1462-nucleotide non-coding RNA. The record is from the annotation of a GenBank genome assembly. Lineage: Eukaryota; Metazoa; Chordata; Amphibia; Anura; Pelobatidae.